ACAGCAGUCGCCACGGGAAUACAGAGGGUGCGAGCGUUAAUCGGAUUUACUGGGCGUAAAGCGUGCGUAGGCGGCUUUUUAAGUCGGAUGUUAAAUCCCUGAGCUUAACUUAGGAAUUGCAUUCGAUACUGGGAAGCUAGAGUAUGGGAGAGGAUGGUAGAAUUCCAGGUGUAGCGGUGAAAUGCGUAGAGAUCUGGAGGAAUACCGAUGGCGAAGGCAGCCAUCUGGCCUAAUACUGACGCUGAGGUACGAAAGCAUGGGGAGCAAACAGGAUUAGAGACCCCCGUAGUCCCUGUCUCUUAUAC
RNAcentral lists this ribosomal RNA (305 nucleotides) under uncultured bacterium. RNAcentral describes it as "partial 16S ribosomal RNA". It matches the Rfam family "Bacterial small subunit ribosomal RNA", at positions 505 to 807 of the family's 1533-position model. The record is from RNAcentral.